Molecule: ribosomal RNA, 255 nt
Filed under: uncultured bacterium
Lineage: Bacteria
Description: partial 16S ribosomal RNA
Rfam family: Bacterial small subunit ribosomal RNA
Source: RNAcentral
UACGUAGGGUGCGAGCGUUUGUCCGGAAUUAUUGGGCGUAAAGAGCUCGUAGGCGGUGUGUCACGUCGGCCGUGAAAACCUGCAGCUUAACUGUGGGCGUGCGGUCGAUACGGGUAUCACUGGAGUUCGGCAGGGGAGACUGGAAUUCCUGGUGUAGCGGUGAAAUGCGCAGAUAUCAGGAGGAACACCGGUGGCGAAGGCGGGUCUCUGGGCCGAUACUGACGCUGAGGAGCGAAAGCGUGGGGAGCAAACAGG